This 2701-nucleotide ribosomal RNA is filed under the name hot springs metagenome. RNAcentral's name for it is "bacterial LSU rRNA". It matches the Rfam family "Archaeal large subunit ribosomal RNA", at positions 1 to 2105 of the family's 2987-position model. The record is from RNAcentral.
CCUGCAUCAAGAAGCCGCCUGGUGGAUGGCUUGGCUCGGGCGCCGAGGAAGGGCGCGGCAAGCUCGCGAUAAUCCCGGGGUAGGCGCAUGCGGCCUUUGAUCCCGGGGUCCCCUAAUGGGGCUUCCUGCCACGGUGAACCCGUGGCGUCCCGUAAGGGACGGGAACCCCCCGAACGGAAACAUCUUAGUAGGGGGAGGAAGAGAAAUCAACAGAGAUCCCCUGAGUAGGGGCGACCGAAAGGGGGAGAGCCCAAACCAAAUCCCCCCGGGACAACUGGGGGGAGAUGUGGGGUAGUGGGCUUGGGGCACCGCCGAGGCGACCUAGCCGAAGUGGGCUGGAAAGCCCCACCAGAGAGGGUGACAGUCCCGUAGGUUAAAGGUCGUUGGCGGAUUCCCAAGUUCCGGAGUACCAUGCCUCGGUUCUGGCAUGGGAAGCUGGGGGCCACUGGCCUCCAAGGCUAAAUACGUCCCGAGACCGAUAGCGUACAAGUACCGUGAGGGAACGCUGAAAAGCACCCCGGAAGGGGGGUGAAAAGAGCCUGAAACCAGGCGGUUAAAGGAGGAGCGGCCUCAAAGGAUUCCCCGAUUCAAAGGAAACCAAGGCAACUUGGGAGUACGAGGAUCGGGGCCGGGGUCGCUCCUUACGUCUAGAAACACGGGCCAGGGAGUGCUCGCUCGUGGCGAGUUUAAGGGGGAUAAUCCCCGUAGGCGUAGGGAAACCGACCAGCCCGCAGCCGAGCAAUCGGCGAGGGGCGGGGUCUUAACGGGCCCGGAGCCACGGGCGGGCGACCCGAAACCGAGCGAUCUAUCCCGGGGCAGGGCGAAGCGGGGUGAAAGCCCCGUGGAGGCCCGAAGGGGUUCUGACGUGCAAAUCGUUCCUCUGACCCUGGGAUAGGGGCAAAAGACCAAUCAAGCUCGGUGAUAGCUGGUUCCCCCCGAAGUGGAUCUAAGUCCAGCCUCCCCAGAGGAUGCUCACGGGGUAGGGCACCGAUCUAGGGCGCAGGGGCCGAAAGGCCCCGGCUCUGGGUCGAACUUCGAACCCGUGGGCUCCGUAGAAGGGGGGAGACGGGUUUCCCGGGGGUAAGCUUGGGAACCGAGAGGGGAACAACCCAGACCGGGGUUAAGGCCCCUAAGCGCGGGCUAAGUGCUAAUCCGGAAGGGAGUCUCCCGCCGAAGACGGCGGGGCCGUAGGCCCAGCAGCAGCCAUCGGCUAAGAAGUGCGUAACAGCUUACCCGCUGAGGCGGGGGGCCCUUAAGAUGUGCGGGGCUUAAGCCCGCCGCCGAGACCCCGGGCCAUGGAUCAUUGGAUCCAUGAGCGGUAGGGGGGCGUGGCCAUGGGCUAGAAGGCGGGCCGUGAGGUCCGCUGGACCCGUGGCCAAUGCGGAUCCUGGCAGUAGUAGCAGCGUCUAGAGGAGUUAAAGGCUCCUCCGCCGGUUGGGCAAGGGUUCCAUGGCAACGACAAUCAGCCAUGGGUUAGCCGGUCCUAAGGCAGAGCCCCAUAGGCAUCUGCCGAAAGGGAAACGGGUUAAUAAUCCCGUGCCGUGGGGAUAGGUUCAGCGGCAACGCGUGCCCUGCUUCCGACGCCUCCGGAUACGGCGAGCGGGACCGCCGUCCCGUUUAACCGCCGAAGACCGGGGAGUGGCGUAAUGCCGAGAACCGGUUGAACGCGGGAAUAGCCGGGCCUUGAGCCUGGUUCGCCCGAUUCCGGGGGCCCAUGAAAAGGAAGCGGGGAACGAUUCCCCACGCCCGUACCGAGAACCGACACAGGUGCCCUGGGCUAGAAACCCAAGGCGGCUCGGGUGACCCUGGGUUAGGGAACUCGGCAAAUUGGCCCCGUAACUUCGGGAGAAGGGGUGCCUGCAGUCCUUGGCUAAACCAGGGACCGCAGGUCGCAGUGGCCAGGGGGACCUGACUGUUUAACAAAAACAUAGGUCCCCGCGAGCCCGUAAGGGUGAGUACGGGGGCUGAAUCCUGGCCACUGGCGGUACGUUAAACCCGGGUACAACCGGGCUAAGCGCCGCUGAAGGCCGGGGGUAACUCUGACCCUCUUAGCGGGGGUCCCUUCAUGUACGUAAUCAUUUUAAAUAACCCUGUGUUACUACCUGCAUGGGGGAUGCGUUAAGCAAAAUUAACAUUGGGUAUGUUGUUGGAUUUAUAGAUGCAGAGGCUAGUUUCUCAGUAUCAAUAAAAUAUCAACGGGGUUAUGGUAUAAGGUUAGACCCAGUGUUCAGUGCAUCACAAUUGAAUAAGGAUCCACUAGAUGUUAUAAGUAGGGUAAUUGGCGUUGGGAGGAUAAUUAGAAAGCCAGGUCAGGAACACUUAUAUCUCUACGUUGUUGAUAACAUGAGUGAGCUAGUAGAAGGCCUAAUACCAUUCCUAGACAAAUAUAAGCAUCUACUACGUUCAAAAAAGAAUGCCUACGAUUUAUUCCGGGAGAUAGUGAUCUCACUAGCUAACGGUGUUCAUAGGGAAAAGGAGGGCAAACGAAAACUCAUUAAACUUGCAUAUACCCUAUCAGCUAUUAACUCUAAAUCCCACAGGAAAAGACCUCUUGAGGAGGUAUUAAAACUCCUUGAAUCAAACUAAGUUUAAUUAAAUUCCCUCUAUGAAGGGACCCCCGGGAGAAAGGUAGCCAAAUGCCUUGCCGGGUAAGUUCCGGCGUGCAUGAAUGGAUCAACGAGGUCCCCACUGUCCCAACCCA